GAUGAACGCUGGCGGCGUGCUUAACACAUGCAAGUCCAGGGGGCCCAGCAAUGGGUAACCGGCGAACGGGUGCGUAACACGUGAGCAACCUACCGAAUUGUGGGGGAUAGCCGGCCCAACGGCCGGGUAAUACCGCAUACGAUCGAGACCAGGCAUUUGGACUCGAUGAAAUCUACGGAGCAAUUCGAGGGGCUCGCGGC
RNAcentral lists this ribosomal RNA (200 nucleotides) under uncultured bacterium. Its description in RNAcentral is "partial 16S ribosomal RNA". It matches the Rfam family "Bacterial small subunit ribosomal RNA", at positions 28 to 237 of the family's 1533-position model. The record is from RNAcentral.